RNAcentral lists this ribosomal RNA (468 nucleotides) under uncultured bacterium. Its description in RNAcentral is "partial 16S ribosomal RNA". It matches the Rfam family "Bacterial small subunit ribosomal RNA", at positions 28 to 507 of the family's 1533-position model. The record is from RNAcentral.
GACGAACGCUGGCGGCGUGCUUAACACAUGCAAGUCGAACGGAAAGGCCCUGCUUUUGUGGGGUGCUCGAGUGGCGAACGGGUGAGUAACACGUGAGUAACCUGCCCUUGACUUUGGGAUAACUUCAGGAAACUGGGGCUAAUACCGGAUAGGAGCUCCUGCUGCAUGGUGGGGGUUGGAAAGUUUCGGCGGUUGGGGAUGGACUCGCGGCUUAUCAGCUUGUUGGUGGGGUAGUGGCUUACCAAGGCUUUGACGGGUAGCCGGCCUGAGAGGGUGACCGGCCACAUUGGGACUGAGAUACGGCCCAGACUCCUACGGGAGGCAGCAGUGGGGAAUGUUGCACAAUGGGCGGGAGCCUGAUGCAGCAACGCAGCGUGCGGGAUGACGGCCUUCGGGUUGUAAACCGCUUUCGCCUGUGACGAAGCGUGAGUGACGGUAAUGGGUAAAGAAGCACCGGCUAACUACGUG